UAAAGGUGAAAUAUUGAUUUGAGUGUUAUUAUACUGUUUGUUCUCCAUCUGUACAAAAAACAAUAAGGCAGAGUUUUCUUUCGUGUGAUUAAUGCUAUUUCAAGCUGUGGAUAAAGGAGUAUUGUUUUUGUUAUUCUUCUGUACUUUUAUAUCUUGAUGGUCAGAUUCUUGCUGUGUAAACUAGCCAUAAGGAGGAGCAUCCUUUCCACAUCAAUUGCAUGCUGGUGUCUGGAUUUUCGUUGUUAUAUAUUAGUGUAGCACUCUCUGCACUAUAUGUCGUCUCUAAUUUUAUUUUCCUCUGAAAUGUUGAAUCAAUUACAGCUGAGUCUGUCAAACGGAUGGCAGUAAAGACACAGCUAAGCACAUUGAAGAAACCCGAAGAUGUUGCAGGGAACGGGGAGUCAUGAAUGACACUUUGAAAGAAAUGUUUUCUUGCCUUUGCCGUCUAAUGUGAUUCAUGAUGUUGAGCUUGUGUGUCGGGUUCUCUCCUAAGUUAGUUGCUGCAAAUUCAUCAUAGCAGGUCAACUAGUUCAUGAGGACUUGGUGCUAGAACACAUAAUAUGAUAGAUUUUUGUUUUAGCUAUAAGAUAGUUGGUACUUUCAAUUUUGAAUCGAAAUAUGCAAUGAUCAUAUGUACUUGAUACUUGGUUCAUUUGGAUGGUAAUGUAUGAAUAUUUUGGAUGAUAUAUAAUAUUGUUAUUGGUGAUUUUAUCAUUUUGUUGUUUUAAAGUUAUUUAUUUAUUUCUUGAGAUAAAUAACAUAAAAAUCGAGAAAAAAUAUUAAAUAUGCUAGUUGUAGUUGAAAUACAUAACAGUAUAAAAAGUACAAAAAAAUCGUUAUGUAUUUCUAUCAAAGAUAACGGUAAAAACCGUUAUAAAAAGUAAAAAA
Molecule: long non-coding RNA, 888 nt
Organism: Salvia miltiorrhiza (redroot sage)
Lineage: Eukaryota; Viridiplantae; Streptophyta; Magnoliopsida; Lamiales; Lamiaceae
Exons: 3
Source: RefSeq, a predicted model, not a curated record